GGGCUUGCGUCCGAUUAGCUAGUUGGUGGGGUAAAGGCUUACCAAGGCGGCGAUCGGUAGCUGGUCUGAGAGGAUGAUCAGCCAGACGGGGACUGAGAUACGGCCCCGACUCCUACGGGAGGCAGCAGCAAGGAAUUUUGCGCAAUGGGCGAAAGCCUGACGCAGCGACGCCGCGUGGGGGAAGAAGGCCUUCGGGUUGUAAACCCCUUUUCUCGAGGAAGCGACGGUACUCGGGGAAUAAGUCUCGGCUAACUACGUGCCAGCAGCCGCGGUAAUACGUAGGAGGCAAACGUUAUCCGGAUUUACUGGGCGUAAAGGGGGCGCAGGCGGAACUCUAAGUCGAGUGUGAAAUCUCCUAACUCAAUUAGGAGGGGUCAUUCGAUACUAGGGAGCUUGAGGGCAGCAGAGGGAGGUGGAAUUCCCGGUGUAGCGGUG
Molecule: ribosomal RNA, 435 nt
Filed under: uncultured bacterium
Lineage: Bacteria
Description: bacterial SSU rRNA
Rfam family: Bacterial small subunit ribosomal RNA
Source: RNAcentral